RNAcentral lists this ribosomal RNA (468 nucleotides) under uncultured bacterium. RNAcentral describes it as "partial 16S ribosomal RNA". It matches the Rfam family "Bacterial small subunit ribosomal RNA", at positions 28 to 507 of the family's 1533-position model. The record is from RNAcentral.
GACGAACGCUGGCGGCGUGCUUAACACAUGCAAGUCGAACGGAAAGGCCCUGCUUUUGUGGGGUGCUCGAGUGGCGAACGGGUGAGUAACACGUGAGUAACCUGCCCUUGACUUUGGGAUAACUUCAGGAAACUGGGGCUAAUACCGGAUAGGAGCUCCUGCUGCAUGGUGGGGGUUGGAAAGUUUCGGCGGUUGGGGAUGGACUCGCGGCUUAUCAGCUUGUUGGUGGGGUAGUGGCUUACCAAGGCUUUGACGGGUAGCCGGCCUGAGAGGGUGACCGGGCACAAUGGGACUGAGAGACGGCCCAGACGCCUACGGGGGGCAGCGGUGGGGAAUAUUGCACAAUGGGCGGAAGCCUGAUGCAGCAACGCCGCGUGCGGGAUGACGGCCUUCGGGUUGUAAACCGCUUUCGCCUGUGACGAAGCGUGAGUGACGGUAAUGGGUAAAGAAGCACCGGCUAACUACGUG